Molecule: ribosomal RNA, 249 nt
Filed under: Klebsiella pneumoniae
Lineage: Bacteria; Pseudomonadati; Pseudomonadota; Gammaproteobacteria; Enterobacterales; Enterobacteriaceae
Description: partial 23S ribosomal RNA
Rfam family: Bacterial large subunit ribosomal RNA
Source: RNAcentral
CUUUGAAGCGUGGACGCCAGUCUGCGUGGAGCCAACCUUGAAAUACCACCCUUUAAUGUUUGAUGUUCUAACGUUGUCCCCUGACCGGGGUUGCGGACAGUGUCUGGUGGGUAGUUUGACUGGGGCGGUCUCCUACCAAAGCGUAACGGAGGAGCACGAAGGUUAGCUAAUCCUGGUCGUACAUCAGGAGUUUAGUGCAAUGGCAUAAGCUAGCUUGACUGCGAGCGUGACGGCGCGAGCAGGUGCGAA